UGGGGAAUCUUGCACAAUGGGGGAAACCCUGAUGCAGCGACGCCGCGUGAGCGAUUAAGCCCUUCGGGGUGUAAAGCUCUUUCGGCAGGGACGAUAAUUACGGUACCUGAAGAAGAAGCUGCGGCUAACUACGUGCCAGCAGCCGCGGUAAUACGUAGGCAGCGAGCGUUGUUCGGAGUUACUGGGCGUAAAGCGUGCGUAGGCGGUGGUCCAAGUCUGGUGUGAAAUCUCCCGGCUCAACUGGGAGGGUGCGCCGGAAACUGGGCUGCUGGAGUGCGGGAGAGGCAAGCGGAAUUCCAGGUGUAGCGGUGAAAUGCGUAGAUAUCUGGAGGAACACCCGUGGUGCAGACGGCUUGCUGGACCGUAACUGACGCUGAGGCACGAAAGCGUGGGUAGCAAACAGG
This 404-nucleotide ribosomal RNA is filed under the name bacterium. RNAcentral's name for it is "partial 16S ribosomal RNA". It matches the Rfam family "Bacterial small subunit ribosomal RNA", at positions 355 to 776 of the family's 1533-position model. The record is from RNAcentral.